GACGAACGCUGGCGGCGUGCUUAACACAUGCAAGUCGAACGGAAAGGCCCUGCUUUUGUGGGGUGCUCGAGUGGCGAACGGGUGAGUAACACGUGAGUAACCUGCCCUUGACUUUGGGAUAACUUCAGGAAACUGGGGCUAAUACCGGAUAGGAGCUCCUGCUGCAUGGCGUGGGUUGGAAAGUUUCGGCGGUUGGGGAUGGACUCGCGGCUUAUCAGCUUGUUGGUGGGGUAGUGGCUUACCAAGGCUUUGACGGGUAGCCGGCCUGAGAGGGUGACCGGCCACAUUGGGACUGAGAUACGGCCCAGACUCCUACGGGGGGCAGCAGUGGGGAAGAUAGCACAAUGGGCGGAAGCCGGAUGCAGCAACGCCGCGUGCGGGAUGACGGCCGUCGGGUUGGAAACCGCUUUCGCCUGGGACGAAGCGUGAGUGACGGUAAUGGAUAAAGAAGCACCGGCUAACUACGUG
RNAcentral lists this ribosomal RNA (468 nucleotides) under uncultured bacterium. RNAcentral's name for it is "partial 16S ribosomal RNA". It matches the Rfam family "Bacterial small subunit ribosomal RNA", at positions 28 to 507 of the family's 1533-position model. The record is from RNAcentral.